AUGUGUCCGGUUUAGUCUCGUAGUGACUGCGGAGGGAUCAUUACCGAGUGAGGGCCCUCGUGGCUCGACCUCCAACCCUUAUGUGGACCACACUUGUUGCCUCGGGGGCGCCCCGGCCUCCGCGCCGGGGCCCCCGAUGGACCCUUCAACUCUGCAUCUGUACGUCGGAGUCGAAACGAAAAAUGAAUCAAAACUUUCAACAACGGAUCUCUUGGUUCUGGCAUCGAUGAAGAACGCAGCGAAAUGCGAUAAGUAAUGUGAAUUGCAGAAUUCAGUGAAUCAUCGAAUCUUUGAACGCACAUCGCGCCCUCUGGCAUUCCGGGGGGCACGCCUGUUCGAGCGUCAUUACACCACUCAAGCCUGGCUUGGUAUUGGGCGACGGGGACUCCCCGCGCCUCCAUGUCACCGGCGGACGACCCGUAUCUCAGCGUUGUGGCACAAAUUCGCUGGCGAGAGGGGGGCGGUCCGGCCGUUAAAACUCAUCUCAGGUUGACCUCGGAUCAGGCGGGGAUACCCGCUGAACUUAAGCAUAUCUUAGCCCGAAGGACGCUCGGAUCAGGCUGGGAUACCCGCUGAACUUACCAUAUAUCGUGCGGAUAAGAAAAAUCA
RNAcentral lists this ribosomal RNA (609 nucleotides) under uncultured fungus. RNAcentral describes it as "eukaryotic LSU rRNA". The stretch from base 192 to 345 matches the Rfam family "5.8S ribosomal RNA". Lineage: Eukaryota; Fungi. The record is from RNAcentral.